RNAcentral lists this ribosomal RNA (265 nucleotides) under Escherichia coli. RNAcentral describes it as "partial 16S ribosomal RNA". It matches the Rfam family "Bacterial small subunit ribosomal RNA", at positions 1 to 262 of the family's 1533-position model. The record is from RNAcentral. Lineage: Bacteria; Pseudomonadati; Pseudomonadota; Gammaproteobacteria; Enterobacterales; Enterobacteriaceae.
AAAUUGAAGAGUUUGAUCAUGGCUCAGAUUGAACGCUGGCGGCAGGCCUAACACAUGCAAGUCGAACGGUAACAGGAAACAGCUUGCUGUUUCGCUGACGAGUGGCGGACGGGUGAGUAAUGUCUGGGAAACUGCCUGAUGGAGGGGGAUAACUACUGGAAACGGUAGCUAAUACCGCAUAACGUCGCAAGACCAAAGAGGGGGACCUUCGGGCCUCUUGCCAUCGGAUGUGCCCAGAUGGGAUUAGCUUGUUGGUGGGGUAACG